Molecule: long non-coding RNA, 581 nt
Organism: Oncorhynchus tshawytscha (Chinook salmon)
Lineage: Eukaryota; Metazoa; Chordata; Actinopteri; Salmoniformes; Salmonidae
Source: Ensembl
CUGAGUUGCUGUAGCUAGGCUGCAGUGUGUGAUUAUGAAGAGUGUGUGGGUUCUGUCUGAUAUGUACAGGCUGCAGUGUGUGAUUAUGAAGAGUGUGUGUGUUCUCUCUGAUAUGUACAGGCUGCAGUGUGUGAUUAUGAAGAGUGUGUGUGUUCUCUCUGAUAUGUACAGGCUGCAGUGUGUGAUUAUGAAGAGUGUGUGGGUUCUGUCUGAUAUGUACAGGCUGCAGUGUGUGAUUAUGAAGAGUGUGUGGGUUCUCUCUGAUAUGUACAGGCUGCAGUGUGUGAUUAUGAAGAGUGUGUGGGUUCUCUCUGAUAUGUACAGGCUGCAGUGUGUGAUUAUGAAGAGUGUGUGGGUUCUCUCUGAUAUGUACAGGCUGCAGUGUGUGAUUAUGAAGAGUGUGUGGGUUCUGUCUGAUAUGUACAGGCUGCAGUGUGUGAUUAUGAAGAGUGUGUGGGUUCUGUCUGAUAUGUACAGGCUGCAGUGUGUAUAUAGAACCUUUCAGCUGUCACCUUGGUGAGAGCUACUGACAAUGCUCUCCUCUCCUGCUUACCAAUGAGAAAGAGAAGAAGAGAGGAAAC